Molecule: long non-coding RNA, 671 nt
Filed under: Homo sapiens (human)
Lineage: Eukaryota; Metazoa; Chordata; Mammalia; Primates; Hominidae
Description: non-protein coding lnc-CILP-1:1
Source: RNAcentral
UACUGCUUGCAUAGUUGAAUUGGUCUACCACCUGCCUACGUGUGUUUGUGGGGGUACUCAUGAGGUUAUUUUGGUGUAAAUAAUAUGUCAGUGAGCCUCUGAAAGCACAUAUGCCUAUUUGUGCAGAAGCAUUCAUUCACUCAUUCUUGAUUUAUGAUUUACUAAUUUACUUGGACAUUUUUAAAGUACUUGUUCUGUGAUUGUCCCCACACUAGGCACUGGGAAUCUGAAGAGGUGUCUGUGGCCAGAGUAAAGCCAGAGUGUGGCCAUCUAAAGGGUGGGCCCAGGACAAGGGCCUCAUGGAAAGGAACUGUGGAAAGUAGAGAGGACCCACCUGCCAUGCUGUGAGGACACCCAGGCCACAUAGAGAGAGUGAGGCCACAUGUAGGUUUUACAGCCAGAAGCCCCACUGAAAACCAAACCUGCAACCAGCAUCAACUGCCAAACAUGUACUGAAGAGGCUGAGAUGAUUCCAGCACUUGUGGAUGACUGCAACCACAUGAGAGACCCAGAGCAAGAGCUACCUAGCUGAGCCCAGUUACUCCCAGAAUCAUGAGAGAACUAUGUAAUUGAUUGUUAUUACUAUAUAAGCCACUAAGUUUACAUAUGAUAUGUUAUGCAGCAGUAGACAGCUGGAACAGGAGCCAAUAAACACCGAAUGAAUAAAUGUG